This 282-nucleotide ribosomal RNA is filed under the name uncultured Lactobacillus sp. RNAcentral describes it as "partial 16S ribosomal RNA". It matches the Rfam family "Bacterial small subunit ribosomal RNA", at positions 354 to 628 of the family's 1533-position model. The record is from RNAcentral. Lineage: Bacteria; Bacillati; Bacillota; Bacilli; Lactobacillales; Lactobacillaceae.
GUAGGGAAUCUUCCACAAUGAACGCAAGUCUGAUGGAGCAACGCCGCGUGAGUGAAGAAGGCUUUCGGGUCGUAAAACUCUGUUGUUGGAGAAAAAUGGUCGGCAGAGUAACUGUUGUCGGCGUGACGGUAUCCAACCAGAAAGCCACGGCUAACUACGUGCCAGCAGCCGCGGUAAUACGUAGGUGGCAAGCGUUAUCCGGAUUUAUUGGGCGUAAAGCGAGCGCAGGCGGUUUUUUAAGUCUGAUGUGAAAGCCCUCGGCUUAACCGAGGAAGUGCAUCG